RNAcentral lists this long non-coding RNA (350 nucleotides) under Triticum aestivum (bread wheat). RNAcentral's name for it is "long non-coding RNA (TAES_LNC015152)". Lineage: Eukaryota; Viridiplantae; Streptophyta; Magnoliopsida; Poales; Poaceae. The record is from RNAcentral.
CUGGUGUAGAACAGUGGCAACUGCAAAACUAAAUGAACCAGUUCGUCUGACAGAAGUGCUCUGUUUUAUGAAAUUGAUGCCUGAUCUAGUAUGUGCCUGAAAUGAGUCAAAAAAAAAAUUGGGGGCACCUGAAAUGAGCCAGUUCGUCUGACUGAGAUGCUAAAGCAGACGGGCGUCUUUUAUUUUGCGUCUUUGCCAUUGCGUAGUAGUCUGAAUCUUUUGCACUAUAUGAAUGAAUUAUAAUAGAAAGACUGAUAUUUUGUAAUAUCUAUAUGAACGUAUUUGUAAAAUUGACUGGGAAUCAAUUAAUUAUUAGUCGAGUGAGACCACAUUACAUUUAUUUGUGCUAG